Molecule: ribosomal RNA, 1235 nt
Filed under: metagenome
Description: bacterial LSU rRNA
Rfam family: Bacterial large subunit ribosomal RNA
Source: RNAcentral
CGAAUACGAGACGCUACGGCGUCGAAGUAGUGUAUGUCAUGCUUCCAAGAAAAGCUUGCACUGUCAUAAAUAAGAAAUGCCUGUACCAUAACCGACACAGGUGGGUAGGUAGAGUAUACUAAGGGGCGCGAGAUAACUCUCUCUAAGGAACUCGGCAAAAUAACUCCGUAACUUCGGGAGAAGGAGUGCCUUAUUUAAUAAGGUUGCAAUAACAAGAUCCAAGCAACUGUUUACCAAAAACACAGGUCUCCGCUAAGUCGUAAGACGAUGUAUGGGGGCUGACGCCUGCCCAGUGCCAGAAGGUUAAGAAGUUGGUUAGCAUCUGCGAAGCUGAUAACUGAAGCCCUGGUGAACGGCGGCCGUAACAAUAACGGUCCUAAGGUAGCGAAAUUCCUUGUCGGGUAAGUUCCGACCCGCACGAAAGGCGUAAUGAUUUGGAUACUGUCUCGGAGAGGGGCUCGGUGAAAUAGACUUGUCUGUGAAGAUGCGGACUACCUGCACCUGGACAGAAAGACCCUAUGAAGCUUUACUGUAACUUGAAAUUGAAAUUGGACUUUAUUCGCGCAGUAUAGGUGGGAGGCGUUGAAAAUACUCUUGCGGGAGUAUUGGAGCUAUCAGUGAGAUACCACUCUUAUAAUGUUAGAUUUCUAACUUUGAACCAUUAUCUGGUCAAAGAACAGUUUCAGGCGGGCAGUUUGACUGGGGCGGUCGCCUCCCAAACGGUAACGGAGGCGUACAAAGGUUUCCUCUGAACGGAUAGAAAUCGUAUCUAGAGUAUAAAGGCAUAAGGAAGCUUGACUGUGAGACCUACAAGUCGAGCAGGGACGAAAGUCGGUCUUAGUGAUCUGACGGUACUGAGUGGAAAGGCCGUCACUCAACGGAUAAAAGUUACUCUAAGGAUAACAGGCUGAUCUCCCCCAAGAGUUCACAUCGACGGGGAGGUUUGGCACCUCGAUGUCGGCUCAUCGCAUCCUGGGGCGGUAGUACGUCCCAAGGGUUGGGCUGUUCGCCCAUGAAAGCGGUACGCGAGCUGGGUUCAGAACGUCGUGAGACAGUUCGGUCCAUAUCCGGUGUAGGCGUUAGAAUAUUGAGAGGAGCCUCCUCUAGUACGAGAGGACCGAGAAGGACAUACCUCUGGUGUACCAGUUAUCGUGCCAACGGUAAACGCUGGGUAGCUAUGUAUGGAGUGGAUAACCGCUGAAAGCAUCUAAGUGGGAAGCCCACCUCAAGAUAAG